CCCUUCCCUCUUCGCUAAUGUACCUCCUGGAUGCUGAUUCUUUUAAGCUACGAAGAAUUUCCUUUUGGGAGGUGAAACCCUCCAGCUCCUCCUGUUCAGAGGAAAGUGCUAGUGAUGGUAAUACGGGGUGACACUAAAUAAACAGUUAAAGCAGAGCUGGAAAGAUGGAGUUAAUUAUCCAGUGAGCUACAUUUAAACCGAGACCAGGAGGGGCUGAUUUGUUUUGGCGCAGGGAACUGAGAAGGAGACGAGCCACCGAGGUCUCCUUGCUCCUCUUUGGUGGCUCUUUAACUUGUCCUUGCUGUCGCCAGCCCGGGGACCGGCGUCUUUUGGCGAGGGUAGGGAACCCCCCGGCUGGGACCCCCGAACCGUGGCGCGCCCGGCCCCGUGGCCGCAGCUCUGGGAGUCUCUGUGCGAGCCGUGCAUGGGAACUGGCGAUUUCAGGGCGUCCAGAGGUGAUUUUUUUCCAUGUUUGUUUGCUUUUGUUUCCCAGAAGUUAGAUAAAUUCUCGUCCACGCGGCUCGCCGAUGCCUGCGCUCUCAGUUGGAUUCAUCUGGAAUGAUUCUGGAGGUGCUGACUGCAGGGAAGAAGUUACCAGGUUCCCACGUAUCACAACUGACAGUUCCUUCAGUUCUGGGAGAUUUCCAGCAAUUCCACUUAACUCCCAAAGCACAUCUGUGAAUGCACACGGGAUUGCACUUCUUGAGAACAAGAUGGACCAUUGGACACAAAUUAAAAUAUGAGAGAUGACUGCAAAGCACAAGUUUCCAUUUGUGGCCAGCUAUUUUGUGAAGACGUGACUGCAACCAGGUGUGAAGAUCUUGCAGGAGAUGAGGGGAAACCAAGCCAGUCCAAAGAGAUUUGUUAGAAUGUGAACGGGAGCACAGCAGUGUAAGUGCUAUUAAUAGGAUUUACACAGAUUAGUAAACUAAUCUGUGCAUUUCAGAUUGGAUUUCAUAUUAUGGAAAAGAAAAUUAAGCCACAUACCACACAGACUUUCCAGGCAGUGAUUUGUGAGUGUGAUCUAUUUGCUGGUAGAAGUGGCUGCUCAGAAAAGUUGUGACAGCUCUGUUGGGUGGGUCAGUGGCACCCACUGGCAGCCCAGGAGGGGGAACAGUGUUAUAGGAUGCAGAGCUGUGCUGGUGGAUUUGGGAGACAGACAAUGAAAUGAGCAGUUUGUUUAAGGGAUAGCUUUUAAAGUGCAUUGCAAGGAGGAAAAGCAGUGUCCAGCCUUGGCUGCAUCACCACUGGAGAAGAGCUGUCCUCCUGACUCAACUAAAAUGAGAAGCUGUGGCUGCUCAUCUGUGGAAAUGUUCAAGGCCAGGCUGGAUGGGGCUUGGAGCAACCUGGUCUGGUGGAAAGUGUCCCUGCCUAUGGGAUGAGAUGGGUUUUAAGCUCCCUUACAACACAAACACAGCUUAGAGAGAGAUAGAGCACCCAGGACAAUUAUGAGCAGUCAUCUAUGUAAACUGAAAAUUUCAUAGCAUCCAACAAUCCAUUAUAUGUAUUUUGUACAGGUAAUACCAAAUAAUAUAUUUAGAUUAUAUAAUAUAAAUACAAUAUAUGUUACAUACAAAAGCAUAGUAUAUAAUAUAUGUAAAUAUUAUACAUUUAAAUAUAUAUUUUAAUAAGUAAAUAAAUAUGUUUGAUCAAUAGGGUCUGGCUUCAGUAUUUGGACUGUGCCAUUCCAGAUGGGUGAACCUCAGCCUGGCUGUACCUCUGGCCACAGAGGAGGGAAUUGCUGUUACUGUUGUACUGAUGGGGAAAUGUAAAUCCAGAUAUUUAAGAACUGGACUUUUGGUUCCAAGUGGUUAAGAUCAGCUAAUCUUGGGAUAGUUACAGUUCAAGCUGUACCCCUCUGUGUAGGGCUUGAAAAAUAAAGUAUAACCCAUCUUUCUCUUUGUGCUUCCUGUUACUUUGCAAAAAUACAAGUAUUUGGAACUUUUAAACACUCAUUACAGUCAGGACUGAAGAAAGACCACCAUUAGCCUUUCAAAUCUCUGUUUUAGGCCAAAGCUUUAAGAGGCAGAACAAGCUGAGCAGCCCAGUGAUUUAUCUUCUUGCAACACCGUGCUAGGUUACCACAAAUAAAAAUCCCAAAUUUGAUUUGGUUUCUUUGGGAGAAC
This 2126-nucleotide long non-coding RNA is filed under the name Ficedula albicollis (Collared flycatcher). RNAcentral's name for it is "lncRNA (ENSFALG00000026132.1)". The record is from RNAcentral. Lineage: Eukaryota; Metazoa; Chordata; Aves; Passeriformes; Muscicapidae.